AUCCGCUAUGAGAUGGACCCGCGGCGCAUUAGCUAGUUGGUGGGGUAACGGCCUACCAAGGCGACGAUGCGUAGCCGACCUGAGAGGGUGAUCGGCCACAUUGGGACUGAGACACGGCCCAGACUCCUACGGGAGGCAGCAGUGGGGAAUAUUGCACAAUGGGGGAAACCCUGAUGCAGCAACGCCGCGUGAGUGAUGAAGGUUUUCGGAUCGUAAAGCUCUGUCUUUGGGGAAGAUAAUGACGGUACCCAAGGAGGAAGCCACGGCUAACUACGUGCCAGCAGCCGCGGUAAUACGUAGGUGGCGAGCGUUAUCCGGAUUUACUGGGCGUAAAGGGAGCGUAGGCG
This 347-nucleotide ribosomal RNA is filed under the name Salmonella enterica subsp. enterica. RNAcentral's name for it is "bacterial SSU rRNA". It matches the Rfam family "Bacterial small subunit ribosomal RNA", at positions 213 to 577 of the family's 1533-position model. Lineage: Bacteria; Pseudomonadati; Pseudomonadota; Gammaproteobacteria; Enterobacterales; Enterobacteriaceae. The record is from RNAcentral.